Long non-coding RNA from Poecilia latipinna (sailfin molly), 856 nucleotides. RefSeq lists it as uncharacterized. The record is from RefSeq and is a predicted model, not a curated record. The transcript is spliced from 2 exons. NCBI's taxonomy places the organism in Eukaryota, Metazoa, Chordata, Actinopteri, Cyprinodontiformes, Poeciliidae.
UUCUAACCUGGUUUUAACCAGUUUCUAACCUGGUUUUAACCCGUUUCUAACCAGGCGCUGAUCUGCCUGGUGGAUAAGAAGACGGGCGAGAAGAGCAAGACGCGGCCGCGCUUCGUGAAGCAGGACCAGGUGUGCAUCGCCCGGCUGCGGGCCGCAGGCGUCAUCUGCUUAGAAACCUUCAAGGAUUUCCCCCAGAUGGGACGCUUCACUCUGAGAGACGAAGGGAAAACGAUCGCCAUCGGCAAAGUGCUGAAGCUGGUUCCAGAGAAGGACUAAACGCGGCGGCGCCGGCAUGCAUGGAGUUCCUCCACCUGUUAGCGGGCGGAGAAACAGCGCCAGACCCAACCGCCACUCUCUCUCUCUGUUUAAAAACACAACGUUACUGAAGAGAAGAAGAAGAGGAGGAGGAAGAGUGGAAUCAUGUCACGUGAAGAAAAAGAAACGAGACUGAAUCAGUUUUUUUAUGAACAUUAUAGAAUGAGAGCCCAAGUCCAGAGUGUCAGCUUUCUCAUAUUGAGAGCUCUGCUAUGCCACUAAUGUAGCUACACGCCCCCACCCCGUCACCAUGGUUACGCUGUCGGCUGGGCGCCAUGUUUGCUUUCAGGAUGGAGGUGGAUGAUGUCUAGUUCCUGCAGAAGCACCAGAGUUAGCUCGGUGUUCCACCGGCGCGGUUUCCUGCAGAUGCAUUGAUCUGAUUUUAGGGAAAGUUGCACCAGAUCUUUAGUUGGUUCUCUGGGUUAUCUGGACCGGGCUCACACACAGUUCUGCUGCUGACCCCAGGAUGGAAACAUGCUCACAUAAACAGGCACAGAGCUGUUACAUUAAUCCAGUCUGAAAAUAAACGGUCAACCUGAAA